GCCUAGUUAGCUUAGUUGGUAGUGCGUCUGCCUUGUAAGCGCUAGAUCGCGGGUUCUAUUCCCGCCCAGGGCG
RNAcentral lists this transfer RNA (73 nucleotides) under Diaphorina citri (Asian citrus psyllid). It matches the Rfam family "tRNA". Rfam says of the family: Transfer RNA (tRNA) molecules are approximately 80 nucleotides in length. Their secondary structure includes four short double-helical elements and three loops (D, anti-codon, and T loops). Lineage: Eukaryota; Metazoa; Arthropoda; Insecta; Hemiptera; Psyllidae. The record is from Rfam by way of RNAcentral.